Molecule: long non-coding RNA, 451 nt
Organism: Vicia villosa (hairy vetch)
Lineage: Eukaryota; Viridiplantae; Streptophyta; Magnoliopsida; Fabales; Fabaceae
Exons: 3
Source: RefSeq, a predicted model, not a curated record
UCUUUGUUACAGCUUCUACAUCUUUCUCCCUCCUUCCCUUUUCUCUUUCUCUCUACCAGUCAAACUCAUCUUUGUCUCACCUUAUGUGUUUAUUCAUCAUCAAAUUUAUUUCUUAUAUAUUUUUUCUUCAUCUUAUAUGUAGAUUGACUUUGGAGAUCUAAAAAUGGAAGAUCUACAAACCAUAUUCGAAAUCAAGCACAAGAAUUUCCAAUAAAGCAUGUUACUUAUAUGAUAUUUCCUCAAUAUAUUUGGUAUAUGGAAGUUAUAGCAUAUGGAAUUGAUUCAAGAAAUCAAACUAACCAAUGAACAUUGCAGCUAUCAAAGGACAUUAUUACUCCUACAAUGUAGUGUCAUCAUUUUAUGAUUUUGAGAAAUGUUGAUUAACUAAUAAUUAUAUUUUAUCUUUUAGUACUUAAAUAUUUUUUAUUUUAUUUUAUAUGCAUUAUGUAUU